AUCCCUGUAGCGCAAUUGAUAGCGUGUUGGAAUACUAAUCCAAAGGCCGUGGGUUUGAAUACCACCUGAGAUG
Trichonephila clavata is the source of this 73-nucleotide non-coding RNA. NCBI's taxonomy places the organism in Eukaryota, Metazoa, Arthropoda, Arachnida, Araneae, Nephilidae. The record is from the annotation of a GenBank genome assembly.